RNAcentral lists this ribosomal RNA (492 nucleotides) under uncultured bacterium. RNAcentral's name for it is "partial 16S ribosomal RNA". It matches the Rfam family "Bacterial small subunit ribosomal RNA", at positions 29 to 507 of the family's 1533-position model. The record is from RNAcentral.
AGUGAACGCUGGCGGUAGGCCUAACACAUGCAAGUCGAACGGCAGCACAGUAAGAGCUUGCUCUUACGGGUGGCGAGUGGCGGACGGGUGAGGAAUACAUCGGAAUCUACUUUUUCGUGGGGGAUAACGUAGGGAAACUUACGCUAAUACCGCAUACGACCUACGGGUGAAAGCAGGGGAUCUUCGGACCUUGCGCGAUUGAAUGAGCCGAUGUCGGAUUAGCUAGUUGGCGGGGUAAAGGCCCACCAAGGCGACGAUCCGUAGCUGGUCUGAGAGGAUGAUCAGCCACACUGGAACGGAGACACGGUCCAGACUCCUACGGGAGGCAGCAGUGGGGAAUAUUGGACAAUGGGCGCAAGCCUGAUCCAGCCAUACCGCGUGGGUGAAGAAGGCCUUCGGGUUGUAAAACCCUUUUGUUGGGAAAGAAAAGCAGCAGGUUAAUACCCCGCUGUUCUGACGGUACCCAAAGAAUAAGCACCGGCUAACUUCGUG